RNAcentral lists this ribosomal RNA (1028 nucleotides) under Microbacterium esteraromaticum. RNAcentral's name for it is "bacterial SSU rRNA". It matches the Rfam family "Bacterial small subunit ribosomal RNA", at positions 66 to 1105 of the family's 1533-position model. The record is from RNAcentral. Lineage: Bacteria; Bacillati; Actinomycetota; Actinomycetes; Micrococcales; Microbacteriaceae.
ACGAUGAAGCCCAGCUUGCUGGGUGGAUUAGUGGCGAACGGGUGAGUAACACGUGAGCAACCUGCCCCUGACUCUGGGAUAAGCGCUGGAAACGGCGUCUAAUACUGGAUAUGUCCCGUCACCGCAUGGUGUGCGGGUGGAAAGAUUUUUCGGUUGGGGAUGGGCUCGCGGCCUAUCAGCUUGUUGGUGAGGUAAUGGCUCACCAAGGCGUCGACGGGUAGCCGGCCUGAGAGGGUGACCGGCCACACUGGGACUGAGACACGGCCCAGACUCCUACGGGAGGCAGCAGUGGGGAAUAUUGCACAAUGGGCGGAAGCCUGAUGCAGCAACGCCGCGUGAGGGAUGACGGCCUUCGGGUUGUAAACCUCUUUUAGCAGGGAAGAAGCGAGAGUGACGGUACCUGCAGAAAAAGCACCGGCUAACUACGUGCCAGCAGCCGCGGUAAUACGUAGGGUGCAAGCGUUAUCCGGAAUUAUUGGGCGUAAAGAGCUCGUAGGCGGUCUGUCGCGUCUGCUGUGAAAUCCCGAGGCUCAACCUCGGGCUUGCAGUGGGUACGGGCAGACUAGAGUGCGGUAGGGGAGAUUGGAAUUCCUGGUGUAGCGGUGGAAUGCGCAGAUAUCAGGAGGAACACCGAUGGCGAAGGCAGAUCUCUGGGCCGUAACUGACGCUGAGGAGCGAAAGGGUGGGGAGCAAACAGGCUUAGAUACCCUGGUAGUCCACCCCGUAAACGUUGGGAACUAGUUGUGGGGUCCUUUCCACGGAUUCCGUGACGCAGCUAACGCAUUAAGUUCCCCGCCUGGGGAGUACGGCCGCAAGGCUAAAACUCAAAGGAAUUGACGGGGACCCGCACAAGCGGCGGAGCAUGCGGAUUAAUUCGAUGCAACGCGAAGAACCUUACCAAGGCUUGACAUACACGAGAACGGGCCAGAAAUGGUCAACUCUUUGGACACUCGUGAACAGGUGGUGCAUGGUUGUCGUCAGCUCGUGUCGUGAGAUGUUGGGUUAAGUCCCGCAACGAGCGCAACCCU